UGGGGACUUUAUCAGAAUGAUCGGUCAAUAGCAUUCAUGCUAUAUAUUGACUACCUAUGGUAGUGGUGUGCUGGGCGUAGUCGGUAGUAGCCAGCUGCAUUCUUUAACAAAGAGAAAAAAAAUUUAUUACAGCUCAGUAAUUUAUUUUAGCUUAAUGAAAUUUUCUUUCAGAAAAACAAUAUACUCUAUGAUUUGUUCUUAUGUAGUUG
This 209-nucleotide long non-coding RNA is filed under the name Elaeis guineensis (African oil palm). RNAcentral describes it as "long non-coding RNA (EGUI_LNC062479)". The record is from RNAcentral. Lineage: Eukaryota; Viridiplantae; Streptophyta; Magnoliopsida; Arecales; Arecaceae.